ACCGCAUAAGCCCACAGGUCGGCAUCGACCAGAGGGAAAAGGAGCAAUCCGCUUUGAGAUGGCCUCGCGUCCGAUUAGCUAGUUGGUGAGGUAAUGGCCCACCAAGGCGACGAUCGGUAGCCGGACUGAGAGGUUGAACGGCCACAUUGGGACUGAGACACGGCCCAGACUCCUACGGGAGGCAGCAGUGGGGAAUAUUGCACAAUGGGGGAAACCCUGAUGCAGCGACGCCGCGUGGAGGAAGAAGGUCUUCGGAUUGUAAACUCCUGUUGUUGAGGAAGAUAAUGACGGUACUCAACAAGGAAGUGACGGCUAACUACGUGCCAGCAGCCGCGGUAAAACGUAGGUCACAAGCGUUGUCCGGAAUUACUGGGUGUAAAGGGAGCGCAGGCGGGAAGACAAGUUGGAAGUGAAAUCUAUGGGCUCAACCCAUAAACUGCUUUCAAAACUGUUUUUCUUGAGUAGUGCAGAGGUAGGCGGAAUUCCCGGUGUAGCGGUGGAAUGCGUAGAUAUCGGGAGGAACACCAGUGGCGAAGGCGGCCUACUGGGCACCAACUGACGCUGAGGCUCGAAAGUGUGGGUAGCAAACAGGAUUAGAUACCCUGGUAGUCCACACCGUAAACGAUGAUUACUAGGUGUUGGAGGAUUGACCCCUUCAGUGCCGCAGUUAACACAAUAAGUAAUCCACCUGGGGAGUA
This 698-nucleotide ribosomal RNA is filed under the name uncultured bacterium. RNAcentral's name for it is "bacterial SSU rRNA". It matches the Rfam family "Bacterial small subunit ribosomal RNA", at positions 168 to 882 of the family's 1533-position model. The record is from RNAcentral.